GGAAGUAAAAUCGUAACAAGGUUUCCGUAGGUGAACUGCGGAAGGAUCAUUGUCGAAUCCUGCAAAAGCAGAGCAACCCGCGAACGUGUUCAACUCACUGGAACGAGGCGGGGGCGACCGCGACAGCGGCGUCCCCCGUCCCGGGCCACCCUGGUGACUGGGGCUCAAGGCCCCAGCUCCCGAACAAACCCCCGGCGCGAGAAGCGCCAAGGAAUACUACACUGAGGGCCGGACCCGCCCCCUCCCGUUCGCGGGGCCCGGUGGCGGGACAAGGCUUCUUCCUGAAUCACAACGACUCUCGGCAACGGAUAUCUCGGCUCUCGCAUCGAUGAAGAGCGUAGCGAAAUGCGAUACUUGGUGUGAAUUGCAGAAUCCCGUGAACCAUCGAGUCUUUGAACGCAAGUUGCGCCCGAAGCCACCAGGCCGAGGGCACGUCUGCAUGGGCGUCACGCAUCGCGUCGCCCCCCCAACCCCGCGCCCCUCGUUGGGCGCCAGCGGGUGAGGGUGGGGCGGACAGUGGCCUCCCGUGCCCUGGGGCGCGGUUGGCCGAAAUACGAGUCCGGCUCGGCGGGCGUCACGGCAAGUGGUGGUUGAACAUUCAACUCGACGCUGCCGUGCGGCGACCCGGCGAGGUGCUGCGACUGGCUAGAGACCCUAGGCGCUUGCGGCCCCCCUCGUUGAGCGGGGGAGCAGUGGCCACGACCCGCGACCCCAUGUCAGGCGGGACCACCCGUGAGUUUAAGCAUAU
RNAcentral lists this ribosomal RNA (748 nucleotides) under Wellstedia somalensis. RNAcentral describes it as "eukaryotic LSU rRNA". The stretch from base 294 to 449 matches the Rfam family "5.8S ribosomal RNA". The record is from RNAcentral. Lineage: Eukaryota; Viridiplantae; Streptophyta; Magnoliopsida; Boraginales; Wellstediaceae.